This 237-nucleotide ribosomal RNA is filed under the name uncultured bacterium. RNAcentral describes it as "partial 16S ribosomal RNA". It matches the Rfam family "Bacterial small subunit ribosomal RNA", at positions 524 to 760 of the family's 1533-position model. The record is from RNAcentral.
UACGUAGGGUGCAAGCGUUGUCCGGAAUUAUUGGGCGUAAAGAGCUCGUAGGCGGUUUGUCGCGUCUGCUGUGAAAACGCGAGGCUCAACCUCGCGCCUGCAGUGGGUACGGGCAAACUAGAGUGUGGUAGGGGAGACUGGAAUUCCUGGUGUAGCGGUGGAAUGCGCAGAUAUCAGGAGGAACACCGAUGGCGAAGGCAGGUCUCUGGGCCACUACUGACGCUGAGGAGCGAAAGC